This is a long non-coding RNA of Bos taurus (domestic cattle), 650 nucleotides long. Lineage: Eukaryota; Metazoa; Chordata; Mammalia; Artiodactyla; Bovidae. The record is from Ensembl.
CGAGCAGCGUGGGCCUGGGAGGAGCCCAAGCCCGGCCCUGCGAGCGCCUGACCUUUCUCGCCCUCCAUACAGGGGCGCUGCGCGCCAAUCUGUUCCCCAGAACCACCGGCUUGGCCUCAGGGAUAGGAAACAAAAAACUGGCUUCAGAGGUUCGGAAAAGAGAGGACUGAGGCAGAGGCUGGAGAGGGUCGACGUGAAAGGCCAAGACCCGGCCCCACUGUCGGAUCUGUGACUUGUCUGGACAGAGCGGUGGGAGCAAGGCCUGGAGAACCGAGGGAUGUUUUGCUGGAAAGCCGCCCCUCUCCGCCCCUCACAUCCUAGGAUGGACCAGGAGACCACUCCCAGGCUGUGGUCCUCCUCAGGGCCAGGCCCCUUCCCAGUUUUAUUUCCUGCUGACAACCAGCAUCAGCACCCCCAGACCUAAAAGGCCCCCAGGUAGCUCUCUGACUUCAGCUCUGCAAAGCCAUAGGCCAAUGCAAAGCUGGGAGACUGUCCUCUUCUCCCGCCUUCCUUCUUUCCCCAAAGGGAAAAAUCCAAGGCCUCCAGUUAAUACUUUAAAAAAUAAAAGCACCGUCCUCACCAACAUUCUCCUUAGGUUUGGGAGGUGUCUCAAAGCCAAUAAUUCCCACCAAAAAAAAAAAGUCUAAAAC